This 253-nucleotide ribosomal RNA is filed under the name uncultured bacterium. RNAcentral's name for it is "partial 16S ribosomal RNA". It matches the Rfam family "Bacterial small subunit ribosomal RNA", at positions 524 to 776 of the family's 1533-position model. The record is from RNAcentral.
UACGAAGGGGACUAGCGUUGUUCGGAAUCACUGGGCGUAAAGCGCACGUAGGCGGAUAUGUCAGUCAGGGGUGAAAUCCCGGGGCUUAACCUCGGAACUGCCUUUGAUACAGCAUAUCUUGAGUCCGAUAGAGGUGGGUGGAAUUCCUAGUGUAGAGGUGAAAUUCGUAGAUAUUAGGAAGAACACCCGUGGCGAAGGCGGCUCUCUGGAACGCAACUGACGCUGAGACGCGAAAGCGUGGGGAGCAAACAGG